RNAcentral lists this ribosomal RNA (253 nucleotides) under uncultured bacterium. Its description in RNAcentral is "partial 16S ribosomal RNA". It matches the Rfam family "Bacterial small subunit ribosomal RNA", at positions 524 to 776 of the family's 1533-position model. The record is from RNAcentral.
UACAGAGGUCUCAAGCGUUGUUCGGAUUCAUUGGGCGUAAAGGGUGCGUAGGUGGCGCGCUAAGUCAGGUGUGAAAUUUCGGAGCUUAACUCCGAAACUGCAUUUGAUACUGGCGUGCUUGAGGACUGGAGAGGAGACUGGAAUUUACGGUGUAGCAGUGAAAUGCGUAGAGAUCGUAAGGAAGACAAGUGGCGAAGGCGGGUCUCUGGACAGUUCCUGACACUGAGGCACGAAGGCCAGGGGAGCAAACGGG